AACGAUGGGUGCUAGUUGUCAGGCAGCAUGCUGUUUGGUGACGCAGCUAACGCGUAAAGCACCCCGCCUGGGGACUACGGUCGCAAGACUAAAACUCAAAGGAAUUGACGGGGGCCCGCACAAGCGGUGGAGCAUGUGGUUUAAUUCGAGGCAACGCGAAGAACCUUACCGGCCCUUGACAUACCAAUCGCGGAUAGCAGAGAUGCUUUCCUUCAGUUCGGCUGGAUUGGAUACAGGUGCUGCAUGGUUGUCGUCAGCUCGUGUCGUGAGAUGUUGGGUUAAGUCCCGCAACGAGCGCAACCCUCGCCUUUAGUUGCCAGCAUUAAGUUGGGCACUCUAGAGGGACUGCCGGUGAUAAGCCGGAGGAAGGUGGGGAUGACGUCAAAUCAUCAUGGCCCUUACGGGCCGGGCUACACACGUGCUACAAUGGCGGUGACAGUGAGCAGCCACUCAGCGAUGAGGAGCUAAUCUCUAAAAGCCGUCUCAGUUCGGAUUGUUCUCUGCAACUCGAGAGCAUGAAGUUGGAAUCGCUAGUAAUCGUGGAUCAGCAUGCCACGGUGAAUACGUUCCCGGGCCUUGUACACACCGCCCGUCACACCAUGGGAGUUGGUUUUACCCGAAGACUGUGUGCUAACUUUUAGAGGCAGCAGGCCACGGUAAGGUCAGCGACUGGGGUGAAGUCGUAACAAGGUAACCGUA
RNAcentral lists this ribosomal RNA (699 nucleotides) under uncultured bacterium. Its description in RNAcentral is "bacterial SSU rRNA". It matches the Rfam family "Bacterial small subunit ribosomal RNA", at positions 805 to 1504 of the family's 1533-position model. The record is from RNAcentral.